GGGUUGUGAGGUUAAGCGACUAAGCGUACACGGUGGAUGCCCUGGCAGUCAGAGGCGAUGAAGGACGUGCUAAUCUGCGAUAAGCGUCGGUAAGGUGAUAUGAACCGUUAUAACCGGCGAUUUCCGAAUGGGGAAACCCAGUGUGUUUCGACACACUAUCAUUAACUGAAUCCAUAGGUUAAUGAGGCGAACCGGGGGAACUGAAACAUCUAAGUACCCCGAGGAAAAGAAAUCAACCGAGAUUCCCCCAGUAGCGGCGAGCGAACGGGGAGCAGCCCAGAGCCUGAAUCAGURUGUGUGUUAGUGGAAGCGUCUGGAAAGGCGCGCGAUACAGGGUGACAGCCCCGUACACAAAAAUGCACAURYUGUGAGCUCGAUGAGUAGGGCGGGACACGUGGUAUCCUGUCUGAAUAUGGGGGGACCAUCCUCCAAGGCUAAAUACUCCUGACUGACCGAUAGUGAACCAGUACCGUGAGGGAAAGGCGAAAAGAACCCCGGCGAGGGGAGUGAAAAAGAACCUGAAACCGUGUACGUACAAGCAGUGGGAGCACGCUUAGGCGUGUGACUGCGUACCUUUUGUAUAAUGGGUCAGCGACUUAUAUUCUGUAGCAAGGUUAACCGAAUAGGGGAGCCGAAGGGAAACCGAGUCUUAACUGGGCGUUAAGUUGCAGGGUAUAGACCCGAAACCCGGUGAUCUAGCCAUGGGCAGGUUGAAGGUUGGGUAACACUAACUGGAGGACCGAACCGACUAAUGUUGAAAAAUUAGCGGAUGACUUGUGGCUGGGGGUGAAAGGCCAAUCAAACCGGGAGAUAGCUGGUUCUCCCCGAAAGCUAUUUAGGUAGCGCCUCGUGAAUUCAUCUCCGGGGGUAGAGCACUGUUUCGGCAAGGGGGUCAUCCCGACUUACCAACCCGAUGCAAACUGCGAAUACCGGAGAAUGUUAUCACGGGAGACACACGGCGGGUGCUAACGUCCGUCGUGAAGAGGGAAACAACCCAGACCGCCAGCUAAGGUCCCAAAGUCAUGGUUAAGUGGGAAACGAUGUGGGAAGGCCCAGACAGCCAGGAUGUUGGCUUAGAAGCAGCCAUCAUUUAAAGAAAGCGUAAUAGCUCACUGGUCGAGUCGGCCUGCGCGGAAGAUGUAACGGGGCUAAACCAUGCACCGAAGCUGCGGCAGCGACACUAUGUGUUGUUGGGUAGGGGAGCGUUCUGUAAGCCUGUGAAGGUGUGCUGUGAGGCAUGCUGGAGGUAUCAGAAGUGCGAAUGCUGACAUAAGUAACGAUAAAGCGGGUGAAAAGCCCGCUCGCCGGAAGACCAAGGGUUCCUGUCCAACGUUAAUCGGGGCAGGGUGAGUCGACCCCUAAGGCGAGGCCGAAAGGCGUAGUCGAUGGGAAACAGGUUAAUAUUCCUGUACUUGGUGUUACUGCGAAGGGGGGACGGAGAAGGCUAUGUUGGCCGGGCGACGGUUGUCCCGGUUUAAGCGUGUAGGCUGGUUUUCCAGGCAAAUCCGGAAAAUCAAGGCUGAGGCGUGAUGACGAGGCACUACGGUGCUGAAGCAACAAAUGCCCUGCUUCCAGGAAAAGCCUCUAAGCAUCAGGUAACAUCAAAUCGUACCCCAAACCGACACAGGUGGUCAGGUAGAGAAUACCAAGGCGCUUGAGAGAACUCGGGUGAAGGAACUAGGCAAAAUGGUGCCGUAACUUCGGGAGAAGGCACGCUGAUAUGUAGGUGAAGUCCCUCGCGGAUGGAGCUGAAAUCAGUCGAAGAUACCAGCUGGCUGCAACUGUUUAUUAAAAACACAGCACUGUGCAAACACGAAAGUGGACGUAUACGGUGUGACGCCUGCCCGGUGCCGGAAGGUUAAUUGAUGGGGUUAGCCGCAAGGCGAAGCUCUUGAUCGAAGCCCCGGUAAACGGCGGCCGUAACUAUAACGGUCCUAAGGUAGCGAAAUUCCUUGUCGGGUAAGUUCCGACCUGCACGAAUGGCGUAAUGAUGGCCAGGCUGUCUCCACCCGAGACUCAGUGAAAUUGAACUCGCUGUGAAGAUGCAGUGUACCCGCGGCAAGACGGAAAGACCCCGUGAACCUUUACUAUAGCUUGACACUGAACAUUGAGCCUUGAUGUGUAGGAUAGGUGGGAGGCUUWGAAGUGUGGACGCCAGUCUGCAUGGAGCCGACCUUGAAAUACCACCCUUUAAUGUUUGAUGUUCUAACGUUGACCCGUAAUCCGGGUUGCGGACAGUGUCUGGUGGGUAGUUUGACUGGGGCGGUCUCCUCCUAAAGAGUAACGGAGGAGCACGAAGGUUGGCUAAUCCUGGUCGGACAUCAGGAGGUUAGUGCAAUGGCAUAAGCCAGCUUGACUGCGAGCGUGACGGCGCGAGCAGGUGCGAAAGCAGGUCAUAGUGAUCCGGUGGUUCUGAAUGGAAGGGCCAUCGCUCAACGGAUAAAAGGUACUCCGGGGAUAACAGGCUGAUACCGCCCAAGAGUUCAUAUCGACGGCGGUGUUUGGCACCUCGAUGUCGGCUCAUCACAUCCUGGGGCUGAAGUAGGUCCCAAGGGUAUGGCUGUUCGCCAUUUAAAGUGGUACGCGAGCUGGGUUUAGAACGUCGUGAGACAGUUCGGUCCCUAUCUGCCGUGGGCGCUGGAGAACUGAGGGGGGCUGCUCCUAGUACGAGAGGACCGGAGUGGACGCAUCACUGGUGUUCGGGUUGUCAUGCCAAUGGCACUGCCCGGUAGCUAAAUGCGGAAGAGAUAAGUGCUGAAAGCAUCUAAGCACGAAACUUGCCCCGAGAUGAGUUCUCCCUGACUCCUUGAGAGUCCUGAAGGAACGUUGAAGACGACGACGUUGAUAGGCCGGGUGUGUAAGCGCAGCGAUGCGUUGAGCUAACCGGUACUAAUGAACCGUGAGGCUUAACCUUACAACGCCGAAGVUGUU
RNAcentral lists this ribosomal RNA (2931 nucleotides) under Escherichia coli. Its description in RNAcentral is "23S ribosomal RNA". It matches the Rfam family "Bacterial large subunit ribosomal RNA". Lineage: Bacteria; Pseudomonadati; Pseudomonadota; Gammaproteobacteria; Enterobacterales; Enterobacteriaceae. The record is from RNAcentral.